Molecule: long non-coding RNA, 247 nt
Organism: Manduca sexta (tobacco hornworm)
Lineage: Eukaryota; Metazoa; Arthropoda; Insecta; Lepidoptera; Sphingidae
Exons: 2
Source: RefSeq, a predicted model, not a curated record
AUUGUAGGGUUGGUUAAAGAUUCGUCUGCAGCUCAGAAAUGGAUUGCUAACAGACCAUCAGUUGUUGGAAAUAAACACUAUUAAUGUAGUGGGUAUGAAAGAUAAGGAAAUAUCGAAAGUGAUUGACAACAGCCCUUCUGUUGUGAACAUCACAAUUAUUCCACACUAUAUAUACCACCACAUGAUAAGCAAGAUGUCCUCUUCACUCUUUAAGGAUUUGGAUCGCACACCGCUGUGUAAAGAAAAA